RNAcentral lists this long non-coding RNA (477 nucleotides) under Chlamydomonas reinhardtii. RNAcentral describes it as "long non-coding RNA (CREI_LNC001427)". The record is from RNAcentral. Lineage: Eukaryota; Viridiplantae; Chlorophyta; Chlorophyceae; Chlamydomonadales; Chlamydomonadaceae.
UCUGAUGUGCGUUACAUGCACAUGCACGUAUGUGCCUGUCCCUGACAUGGCUGCACGGAGGCUCUAGCGCCUCCAACCAGGGGAGCCCCUGCAGCCCGUGCGACCAUCACGCCCAAGGUGGCGGCGCCACGCACUAGUGCAACCCUACAGUAUUUGCUAUUGGUAACACUGCCACCAUGACCGCUACAUCAAUCCAGCACAGCUCCUAGCACCACAGAGCCAUCCUACAUCUAGCGCUGUCUGCACAGUGGUUCGGGCGCCGUGGCGGUGUGCCCUGCGAGCACAUACACAUAGCGCCGGAUGUAGAGGCACGUAUGCAUGAUUGCGGUGCUACAAGGGGGGACAACCCGAGCAUGCAGUGUGCACCCAGGGGCCAUGCGGCAUGCACCCUUACAUAUAGACCCUGCCAACACCCUGUCGCCCACCUUCUGAGCAAUACCAACGCCGACUCUGAUACAUACGUCACGACGAUGGAUC